CCAAUAGCGUAUAUUAAAGUUGUUGCAGUUAAAAAGCUCGUAGUUGAAUUUCGGGAUCAAUUUGUCGGUCGUGCCUCGGUACGUACUGGCAUUAUUGGUUUCUCCCUUCUGACGAACCACGAUGUCAUUAAUUUGGUGUCGCGGGAAAUCAGGACUGUUACUUUGAAAAAAUUAGAGUGUUUAAAGCAAGCUCACGCUUGAAUACAUUAGCAUGGAAUAAUGAAAUAGGACGUUUGAUUCUAUUUUGUUGGUUUCUAGGAUCGACGUAAUGAUUAAUAGGGAUAGUUGGGGGCAUUAGUAUUCAAUUGUCAGAGGUGAAAUUCUUGGAUUUAUUGAAGACUAACUACUGCGAAAGCAUUUGCCAAGGAUGUUUUCAUUAAUCAAGAACGAAAGUUAGGGGAUCGAAGACGAUCAGAUACCGUCGUAGUCUUAACCAUAAACUAUGCCGACUAGGGAUCGGAUGAUGUUAAUUUUUUAAUGACUCAUUCGGCGCCUUACG
This 499-nucleotide unclassified non-coding RNA is filed under the name uncultured Glomus. Its description in RNAcentral is "SSU rRNA". It matches the Rfam family "Eukaryotic small subunit ribosomal RNA", at positions 591 to 1092 of the family's 1831-position model. Lineage: Eukaryota; Fungi; Glomeromycota; Glomeromycetes; Glomerales; Glomeraceae. The record is from RNAcentral.